AUAGGGAUUUCCCUUCGGGGACAAAAGUGACAGGUGGUGCAUGGUUGUCGUCAGCUCGUGUCGUGAGAUGUUGGGUUAAGUCCCGCAACGAGCGCAACCCUUGAUCUUAGUUGCCAGCAUUUAGUUGGGCACUCUAAGGUGACUGCCGGUGACAAACCGGAGGAAGGUGGGGAUGACGUCAAAUCAUCAUGCCCCUUAUGACCUGGGCUACACACGUGCUACAAUGGAUGGUACAAAGAGUCGCAAACCCGCGAGGGCUAGCUAAUCUCAUAAAGCCAUUCUCAGUUCGGAUUGUAGGCUGCAACUCGCCUACAUGAAGCCGGAAUCGCUAGUAAUCGCGGAUCAGCAUGCCGCGGUGAAUACGUUCCCGGGCCUUGUACACACCGCCCGUCACACCACGAGAGUUUGUAACACCCGAAGUCGGUGAGGUAACCGCAAGGAGCCAGCCGCCUAAGGUGGGAUAGAUGAU
RNAcentral lists this ribosomal RNA (469 nucleotides) under uncultured Bacillus sp. RNAcentral describes it as "bacterial SSU rRNA". It matches the Rfam family "Bacterial small subunit ribosomal RNA", at positions 1006 to 1475 of the family's 1533-position model. Lineage: Bacteria; Bacillati; Bacillota; Bacilli; Caryophanales; Bacillaceae. The record is from RNAcentral.